ACGCCAGUAAAUUACAUCUGCUCAACUCCGAAAUGUUCUGCAGAAAUAAUUGAAUGGGAGGCUGGCUAUAAUAAUGCCGUAGCACGAGCCGUGAGAGACUCUGUUGUCCUCAUGGUCCCAGAAAACGGCUACAGCU
RNAcentral lists this small nucleolar RNA (136 nucleotides) under Sphenodon punctatus (tuatara). RNAcentral describes it as "Small nucleolar RNA SNORA33 (ENSSPUG00000013113.1)". It matches the Rfam family "Small nucleolar RNA SNORA33". Rfam says of the family: ACA33 is a member of the H/ACA class of snoRNA that guide the sites of modification of uridines to pseudouridines. The record is from Rfam by way of RNAcentral. Lineage: Eukaryota; Metazoa; Chordata; Lepidosauria; Sphenodontia; Sphenodontidae.